Molecule: ribosomal RNA, 253 nt
Filed under: uncultured bacterium
Lineage: Bacteria
Description: partial 16S ribosomal RNA
Rfam family: Bacterial small subunit ribosomal RNA
Source: RNAcentral
UACGAAGGGUGCAAACGUUGCUCGGAAUUAUUGGGCGUAAAGCGCACGUAGGCGGCUUUGCAAGUCGGAUGUGAAAUCCCUCGGCUCAACCAAGGAAGUGCAUCCGAAACUGCAGAGCUUGAGUACUUAAGAGGAUCGCGGAAUUCCCGGUGUAGAGGUGAAAUUCGUAGAUAUCGGGAGGAACACCAGUGGCGAAGGCGACUACCUGGCCUGUUCUUGACGCUGAGGCGCGAAAGCUAGGGGAGCAAACGGG